RNAcentral lists this ribosomal RNA (252 nucleotides) under uncultured cercomonad. Its description in RNAcentral is "partial 18S ribosomal RNA". The stretch from base 105 to 252 matches the Rfam family "Eukaryotic small subunit ribosomal RNA", at positions 736 to 963 of the family's 1831-position model. Lineage: Eukaryota; Cercozoa; Cercomonadida; Cercomonadidae. The record is from RNAcentral.
GACUUCUGGUCUAAUGCGCCUGGCCCGCGGUCGUAAGACAUGUGAGUGCCGGUGCGCGUUUACCAUCCUUCUAGAAAACGAGUCUUCCCUUUACUGGGCCGGACUCGGGAUCUAGAUCAUUUACUUUGAAAAAAUUAGAGUGUUUAAAGCAGGCUGAUUGAUAGGGAGAGUUGGGGGUGCUAGUAUUGGCCGGUCAGAGGUGAAAUUCUUGGAUUCGGUCAAGACUAACUUAUGCGAAAGCAUUCACCAAGG